Non-coding RNA from Tinamus guttatus (white-throated tinamou), 451 nucleotides. NCBI's taxonomy places the organism in Eukaryota, Metazoa, Chordata, Aves, Tinamiformes, Tinamidae. The record is from RefSeq and is a predicted model, not a curated record.
GACCGGUGCAGAUUAUCCUAAAUGCAUAAAUUAAAGGAUUUGAUAUCUUCAGGUUUUUUAGGUUUCUAAAAAUGGUUUAUUGCAGAUUUUUUAUGCUUUUGAUGUCUCAUUCUUUUGUGCAAUAUUCACAAAAGUAUUAAACUACUGUUCAGUAUGUGUGUACAGAGGCAAUUAUGUAUUUUAACAAGUGAAUAAACACAAAAGAAGAAAAACAGAAUUGCACUUUAAAUGAGCUUUAUUGCUUGGACUUGUGCCUAAAUAAUCUAGAUGCCUCCUGUUGUGUGUGUGGCUUUUGUUUGAAACUAACUUCCCUGCUAGUAUUGCUGUUUCCAAGAUACCUUUACAUCACUUUCACAAAAUUAAUAUACACUCUAGCAUGUUUAAAAAUCAUAUAGUGUACUGAGUUUUUGUUGUGCGAUGACUUUAAUUGAAGAAUUCCACAUUUAAAUUA